UUUCCGUAGGUGAACCUGCGGAAGGAUCAUUAAUGAGUUGUCAUGGGGUUCGAUGCUGGCAGCCAAUUUUUGGAUGCAUGUGCUUGCCCUAACAAUCAUCUUCCAAACACCUGUGCACAUUUUUGAGGGAGUCUUGAGUUGGUUGCCGCUCUUGGGUGAUUUUCUCACAUUCCCUUAAAUCAUUAUACGCUAUUAACAAUGUUGAACGUGCUCUGUGCCGCAAGGCUAUUAAUAUAAUACAACUUUUAACAACGGAUCUCUUGGCUCUCGCAUCGAUAAAGAACGCAGC
This 289-nucleotide unclassified non-coding RNA is filed under the name plant metagenome. RNAcentral's name for it is "partial contains small subunit ribosomal RNA, internal transcribed spacer 1, and 5.8S ribosomal RNA". The stretch from base 241 to 289 matches the Rfam family "5.8S ribosomal RNA", at positions 1 to 49 of the family's 154-position model. The record is from RNAcentral.